AACGAACGCUGGCGGCAUGCCUAACACAUGCAAGUCGAACGAGACCUUCGGGUCUAGUGGCGCACUGGUGCGUAACGCGUGGGAACCUGCCCUUAGGUUCGGAAUAACUCCCCGAAAGGGGUGCUAAUACCGGAUAAUGUCUUCGGACCAAAGAUUUAUCGCCUUUGGAUGGGCCCGCGUUGGAUUAGCUAGUUGGUAGGGUAAAAGCAUACCAAGGCGACGAUCCAUAGCUGGUCUGAGAGGAUGAUCAGCCACACUGGGACUGAGACACGGCCCAGACUCCUACGGGAGGCAGCAGUGGGGAAUAUUGGACAAUGGGCGAAGGCAUGAUCCAGCAAGGACGCGUGAGUGAUGAAGGCAUUAGGGUUGUAAAGCUCUUUUACCCGGGAUGAUAAUGACAGUACCGGGAGAAUAAGCUCCGGCUAACUCCGUG
This 433-nucleotide ribosomal RNA is filed under the name uncultured bacterium. RNAcentral's name for it is "partial 16S ribosomal RNA". It matches the Rfam family "Bacterial small subunit ribosomal RNA", at positions 29 to 507 of the family's 1533-position model. The record is from RNAcentral.